UACGUAGGGGGCAAGCGUUGUCCGGAUUUAUUGGGCGUAAAGAGCGUGUAGGCGGUCAGUUAGGUCCGUUGUGAAAACUCGAGGCUCAACCUCGAGACGCCGAUGGAAACCAUCUGACUAGAGUCCGGAAGAGGAGAGUGGAAUUCCUGGUGUAGCGGUGAAAUGCGCAGAUAUCAGGAAGAACACCCGUGGCUAAGGCGGCUCUCUAGUACGUUACUGACGCUGAGACGCGAAAGCGUGGGGAGCGAACAGG
Molecule: ribosomal RNA, 253 nt
Filed under: uncultured bacterium
Lineage: Bacteria
Description: partial 16S ribosomal RNA
Rfam family: Bacterial small subunit ribosomal RNA
Source: RNAcentral